RNAcentral lists this small nuclear RNA (184 nucleotides) under Puccinia graminis f. sp. tritici CRL 75-36-700-3. RNAcentral's name for it is "U2 spliceosomal RNA". It matches the Rfam family "U2 spliceosomal RNA". Rfam says of the family: U2 is a small nuclear RNA (snRNA) component of the spliceosome (involved in pre-mRNA splicing). Complementary binding between U2 snRNA (in an area lying towards the 5' end but 3' to hairpin I) and the branchpoint sequence (BPS) of the intron results the bulging out of an unpaired adenosine, on the BPS, which initiates a nucleophilic attack at the intronic 5' splice site, thus starting the first of two transesterification reactions that mediate splicing. Lineage: Eukaryota; Fungi; Basidiomycota; Pucciniomycetes; Pucciniales; Pucciniaceae. The record is from Rfam by way of RNAcentral.
AUCACUCAUUCUGUGAAGAGUUAAACCAAACAUGUAUCUAGUCAUGUUCUUAUCAGUGUAAUUACUGGUAUUAAUCAAUUAAUUACUCUCAUCUUUGAAAUGCCCUCCUCCUUUCCCCUGGCUUGCCAGAUUGGAGCAGACGAUGGCCGUGGGCUCUCACUAUUCCCUCGUGCUGUCAGGCAAU